AACGCGAAGAACCUUACCUGGCCUUGACAUACUAGAAACUUUCCAGAGAUGGAUUGGUGCCUUCGGGAAUCUAGAUACAGGUGCUGCAUGGCUGUCGUCAGCUCGUGUCGUGGGAUGUUGGGUUAAGUCCCGCAACGAGCGCAACCCUUUUCCUUACUUGCCAGCAUUUCGGAUGGGAACUUUAAGGAUACUGCCAGUGACAAACUGGAGGAAGGCGGGGACGACGUCAAGUCAUCAUGGCCCUUACGGCCAGGGCUACACACGUGCUACAAUGGUCGGUACAAAGGGUUGCUACACAGCGAUGUGAUGCUAAUCUCAAAAAGCCGAUCGUAGUCCGGAUUGGAGUCUGCAACUCGACUCCAUGAAGUCGGAAUCGCUAGUAAUCGCGGAUCAGAAUGCCGCGGUGAAUACGUUCCCGGGUCUUGUACACACCG
Molecule: ribosomal RNA, 434 nt
Filed under: uncultured bacterium
Lineage: Bacteria
Description: bacterial SSU rRNA
Rfam family: Bacterial small subunit ribosomal RNA
Source: RNAcentral